GGGUUGUGAGGUUAAGCGACUAAGCGUACACGGUGGAUGCCCUGGCAGUCAGAGGCGAUGAAGGACGUGCUAAUCUGCGAAAAGCGUCGGUAAGGUGAUAUGAACCGUUACAGCCGGCGAUGUCCGAAUGGGGAAACCCAGUGCAAUUCGUUGCACUAUCGUUUGAUGAAUACAUAGUCAAACGAGGCGAACCGGGGGAACUGAAACAUCUAAGUACCCCGAGGAAAAGAAAUCAACCGAGAUUCCCCCAGUAGCGGCGAGCGAACGGGGAGCAGCCCGGAGUCUGAAUCAGCUUGUGUGUUAGUGGAAGCGUCUGGAAAGUCGCAGGGUACAGGGUGAUACUCCCGUACACUAAAAC
RNAcentral lists this ribosomal RNA (358 nucleotides) under Klebsiella michiganensis. RNAcentral's name for it is "partial 23S ribosomal RNA". It matches the Rfam family "Bacterial large subunit ribosomal RNA", at positions 1 to 386 of the family's 2925-position model. Lineage: Bacteria; Pseudomonadati; Pseudomonadota; Gammaproteobacteria; Enterobacterales; Enterobacteriaceae. RNAcentral also lists the same sequence under 1 other name. The record is from RNAcentral.